GACGAACGCUGGCGGCGUGCUUAACACAUGCAAGUCGAACGGAAAGGCCCUGCUUUUGUGGGGUGCUCGAGUGGCGAACGGGUGAGCAACACGUGAGUAACCUGCCCUUGACUUUGGGAUAACUUCAGGAAACUGGGGCUAAUACCGGAUAUGAGCUCCUGCUGCAUGGUGGGGGUUGGAAAGUUUCGGCGGUUGGGGAUGGACUCGCGGCUUAUCAGCUUGUUGGUGUGGUAGUGGCUUACCAAGGCUUUGACGGGUAGCCGGCCUGAGAGGGUGACCGGCCACAUGGGGACUGAGAGACGGCCCAGACUCCUACGGGAGGCAGCAGUGGGGAAUAUUGCACAAUGGGCGGAAGCCUGAUGCAGCAACGCCGCGUGCGGGAUGACGGCCUUCGGGUUGUAAACCGCUUUCGCCUGUGACGAAGCGUGAGUGACGGUAAUGGGUAAAGAAGCACCGGCUAACUACGUG
This 468-nucleotide ribosomal RNA is filed under the name uncultured bacterium. RNAcentral describes it as "partial 16S ribosomal RNA". It matches the Rfam family "Bacterial small subunit ribosomal RNA", at positions 28 to 507 of the family's 1533-position model. The record is from RNAcentral.